This is an RNA transcript of Propithecus coquereli (Coquerel's sifaka), 1290 nucleotides long. It is a transcript of the gene named dnaJ homolog subfamily C member 2 pseudogene, with no coding region annotated. The transcript has 2 exons. The record is from RefSeq and is a predicted model, not a curated record. NCBI's taxonomy places the organism in Eukaryota, Metazoa, Chordata, Mammalia, Primates, Indriidae.
UUGAUUCUUGGAGAGAAUUUUUGUAUUUAGUUGAAGAAGGAAAAGAAAAAGAAAAAGCAGAAUAUCAUGAUGAGAGAAGAGGAAUUGAAAAGCAGAACAGAGCAACAAGGGCACAGAGAAUAAAAGAAGAAACGAACAGAAUAAGAACAUUAGUUUACAAUGCAUAUAGAUGUGAUCCAAGGAUAAAAAAAUGAAAGAAGAAGAAAAAGCCAAGAAAGAAGCAGAAAAGAAAGCAAAAGCAGAAGCCAAAUGGAAGGAGCAAGAAGCUAAAGAAAAACAAAGACAAGCUGAAUCAGAACCUGCUUGAUUAGCUAAGGAGAGAGAAGAAGAGGAAGUUAGACAGAAAGCAUUGUUGGCAAAGAAGGCAAAAGAUAUCCACAAAAAUGCCAUCAAACGGGAAAGGCAAAAACUCCGAAACUCAUGCAAGACCUGGGAUCACUUUUCUGACAAUGAGGCCGAGUGAGUUAAAAUGAUGGGAGAAGUGGAAAACUUUGUGAUCGACUUAAACUCCCAAGCUUACAGUGCUUCAGUGAAACACAGCAUCUGCAAAAGAAGUAGGAAACACUGCUCUGGAAAAUCAGAUCAAAGAAAUAAAUGAGCAAAUUAGAAAAGAGAAAGAGGAAGCUAAAAAUCAAUUGGCAGAGGUGGAAAUGGCAGUAAAAGUUGGUCAGAAGAUGAACUGCAAUUACUAAUUAAAGCGGUGAAUCUUUUCUCUGCUGGAAUAAAUUAGUUAUUGCUAAUUACAUGAGCAUACAUUCUUCUUCUGGAGUCAAAAGAACCACCAAAGAUGUUACUGGCAAAGCAAAGAGUCUCCAAAAACUUGACCCUCCUCAAAAAGACGAUAUAAAUAAAAAGGCAUUUGAUAAAUUUAAAAAAGAACGUGGAGUGGCACCUCAUGCAGACAGUGCAACACCUUCAGAACGAUUUGAAGGUCCACACACAGAUUUCACCCCACGGACAACAGAACAGAACUUUUGGAACAAGCUUUGAAAAUAUACCCAGUAAAUACACCUGAAAGAUGGGGGAAAAGGUAGCAGAAGCGGUGCCUGGCAGGACAAAGAAGGACUGCACAAAAUGAUGUAAGGAAGAGAGAUGGUAAGGGCAAAGAAAGCUGCUCAAGAGCAAGUGCUGAAUGCAGUUAGAGCCAGGAAUGACAUGACAAUCUGUGUUGACCUGGGCCCGGUCUUCAAGGACGACGCCGGAGCAACGUCCUCUUUUGCCUGCGUGAUCUGCGCCCUCCAACAACUCCGAGGCAAGCUGGCUCCACACCACCGUGUCAACCUCACGUGA